AUUGAACGCUGGCGGCAGGCCUAACACAUGCAAGUCGAGCGGUAGCACAGAGAGCUUGCUCUCGGGUGACGAGCGGCGGACGGGUGAGUAAUGUCUGGGAAACUGCCUGAUGGAGGGGGAUAACUACUGGAAACGGUAGCUAAUACCGCAUAACGUCGCAAGACCAAAGAGGGGGACCUUCGGGCCUCUUGCCAUCAGAUGUGCCCAGAUGGGAUUAGCUAGUAGGUGGGGUAACGGCUCACCUAGGCGACGAUCCCUAGCUGGUCUGAGAGGAUGACCAGCCACACUGGAACUGAGACACGGUCCAGACUCCUACGGGAGGCAGCAGUGGGGAAUAUUGCACAAUGGGCGCAAGCCUGAUGCAGCCAUGCCGCGUGUAUGAAGAAGGCCUUCGGGUUGUAAAGUACUUUCAGCGGGGAGGAAGGUGUUGUGGUUAAUAACCACAGCAAUUGACGUUACCCGCAGAAGAAGCACCGGCUAACUCCGUGCCAGCAGCCGCGGUAAUACGGAGGGUGCAAGCGUUAAUCGGAAUUACUGGGCGUAAAGCGCACGCAGGCGGUCUGUCAAGUCGGAUGUGAAAUCCCCGGGCUCAACCUGGGAACUGCAUUCGAAACUGGCAGGCUAGAGUCUUGUAGAGGGGGGUAGAAUUCCAGGUGUAGCGGUGAAAUGCGUAGAGAUCUGGAGGAAUACCGGUGGCGAAGGCGGCCCCCUGGACAAAGACUGACG
Molecule: ribosomal RNA, 726 nt
Filed under: Enterobacter sp.
Lineage: Bacteria; Pseudomonadati; Pseudomonadota; Gammaproteobacteria; Enterobacterales; Enterobacteriaceae
Description: bacterial SSU rRNA
Rfam family: Bacterial small subunit ribosomal RNA
Source: RNAcentral